CCUACGGGUGGCAGCAGUGGGGGAUAUUGCACAAUGGGGGGAACCCUGAUGCAGCGACGCCGCGUGGGUGAAGAAGCGCCUCGGCGCGUAAAGCCCUGUCAGCAGGGAAGAAAAUGACGGUACCUGAAGACGAAGCCCCGGCUAACUACGUGCCAGCAGCCGCGGUAAUACGUAGGGGGCAAGCGUUAUCCGGAUUUACUGGGUGUAAAGGGGGCGCAGACGGCGAUGCAAGCCAGGAGUGAACGCCCGGGGCGCAACCCCGGGACUGCUCUUGGAACUGCGUGGCUGGAGUGCAGGAGGGGCAGGCGGAAUUCCUGGUGUAGCGGGGAAAUGCGUAGAUAUCAGGAGGAACACCGGUGGCGAAGGCGGGCUGCUGGACUGCAACUGACGUUGAGGCCCGAAAGCGUGGGGAGCAAACAGGAUUAGAUACCCCAGUAGUC
This 440-nucleotide ribosomal RNA is filed under the name uncultured bacterium. Its description in RNAcentral is "partial 16S ribosomal RNA". It matches the Rfam family "Bacterial small subunit ribosomal RNA", at positions 338 to 795 of the family's 1533-position model. The record is from RNAcentral.